GACGAACCGUGCGAACGUUGUUCGGAAUCACUGGGCUUAAAGGGCGCGUAGGCGGGUUCGCAAGUCUGUGGUGAAAGUCUCCAGCUUAACUGGAGAAGUGCCGUGGAUACUGCGAAUCUUGAGGAGGGUAGGGGCGUCUGGAACGGUCGGUGGAGCGGUGAAAUGCGUUGAUAUCGACCGGAACUCCGGUGGCGAAGGCGGCCUGCUGGGCAGUUGCUGACACUGAGGCGCGACAGCGUGGGGAGCAAACAGG
RNAcentral lists this ribosomal RNA (253 nucleotides) under uncultured bacterium. Its description in RNAcentral is "partial 16S ribosomal RNA". It matches the Rfam family "Bacterial small subunit ribosomal RNA", at positions 524 to 776 of the family's 1533-position model. The record is from RNAcentral.